AACUUAUAGUUCUAUUAGGGAAUAUUCCACUUACACUGGAAAGGUUUCUGUGCAAUCCAGGAUUAGUUGAU
This 71-nucleotide transfer RNA is filed under the name Hetaerina vulnerata. Its description in RNAcentral is "tRNA-Val". The record is from RNAcentral. Lineage: Eukaryota; Metazoa; Arthropoda; Insecta; Odonata; Calopterygidae.